GACGAACGCUGGCGGCGUGCUUAACACAUGCAAGUCGAACGCUGAAGACCUGGCUUUUGUUGGGUUGGAUGAGUGGCGAACGGGUGAGUAACACGUGAGUAACCUGCCCUCUUCUUUGGGAUAACGCCCGGAAACGGGUGCUAAUACUGGAUAUUCACUGAUCUUCGCAUGGGUGUUGGUGGAAAGGUUUGUUCUGGUGGGUGAUGGGCUCGCGGCCUAUCAGCUUGUUGGUGGGGUGAUGGCCUACCAAGGCUUUGACGGGUAGCCGGCCUGAGAGGGUGACCGGUCACAUUGGGACUGAGAUACGGCCCAGACGCCUACGGGAGGCAGCAGUGGGGAAUAUAGCACAAUGGGCGAAAGCCUGAUGCAGCGACGCCGCGUGAGGGAUGGAGGCCUUCGGGUUGUAAACCUCUUUCGCUCAUGGUCAAGCCGCAACUGUGGGUUGUGGUGAGGGUAGUGGGUAAAGAAGCGCCGGCUAACUACGUG
Molecule: ribosomal RNA, 486 nt
Filed under: uncultured bacterium
Lineage: Bacteria
Description: partial 16S ribosomal RNA
Rfam family: Bacterial small subunit ribosomal RNA
Source: RNAcentral